Molecule: ribosomal RNA, 301 nt
Filed under: uncultured bacterium
Lineage: Bacteria
Description: partial 16S ribosomal RNA
Rfam family: Bacterial small subunit ribosomal RNA
Source: RNAcentral
CAGUAGCCACGGGAAUACAGAGGGUGCGAGCGUUAAUCGGAUUUACUGGGCGUAAAGCGUGCGUAGGCGGCUUCUUAAGUCGGAUGUGAAAUCCCUGAGCUUAACUUAGGAAUUGCAUUCGAUACUGGGAAGCUAGAGUAUGGGAGAGGAUGGUAGAAUUCCAGGUGUAGCGGUGAAAUGCGUAGAGAUCUUGAGGAAUACCGAUGGCGAAGGCAGCCAUCUGGCCUAAUACUGACGCUGAGGUACGAAAGCAUGGGGAGCAAACAGGAUUAGAUACCCCCGUAGUCCCUGUCUCUUAUAC